This 457-nucleotide ribosomal RNA is filed under the name uncultured Janibacter sp. Its description in RNAcentral is "bacterial SSU rRNA". It matches the Rfam family "Bacterial small subunit ribosomal RNA", at positions 925 to 1382 of the family's 1533-position model. Lineage: Bacteria; Bacillati; Actinomycetota; Actinomycetes; Micrococcales; Intrasporangiaceae. The record is from RNAcentral.
ACAAGCGGCGGAGCAUGCGGAUUAAUUCGAUGCAACGCGAAGAACCUUACCAAGGCUUGACAUAUACCGGAAACUUCCAGAGAUGGUUGCCCCUUUUAGGUCGGUAUACAGGUGGUGCAUGGUUGUCGUCAGCUCGUGUCGUGAGAUGUUGGGUUAAGUCCCGCAACGAGCGCAACCCUCGUUCUAUGUUGCCAGCACGUAAUGGUGGGGACUCAUGGAAGACUGCCGGGGUCAACUCGGAGGAAGGUGGGGAUGACGUCAAAUCAUCAUGCCCCUUAUGUCUUGGGCUUCACGCAUGCUACAAUGGCCGGUACAAAGGGCUGCGAUACCGCAAGGUGGAGCGAAUCCCAAAAAACCGGUCUCAGUUCGGAUUGGGGUCUGCAACUCGACCCCAUGAAGUCGGAGUCGCUAGUAAUCGCAGAUCAGCAACGCUGCGGUGAAUACGUUCCCGGGCCUU